AUCUUAAUAGUUUUAAAAAAAAUUUUAUAUUGUGGGUAUAAAGAUACUGUUGUUUUAGAUU
Molecule: transfer RNA, 61 nt
Filed under: Pseudoniphargus gorbeanus
Lineage: Eukaryota; Metazoa; Arthropoda; Malacostraca; Amphipoda; Allocrangonyctidae
Description: tRNA-His
Source: RNAcentral